Non-coding RNA from Marmota flaviventris (yellow-bellied marmot), 1711 nucleotides. Lineage: Eukaryota; Metazoa; Chordata; Mammalia; Rodentia; Sciuridae. The record is from RefSeq and is a predicted model, not a curated record.
GUUCGUCUGAUAGACUAGAGGGAGAAGAUUGUGGUUUGAAGGGGAAGAAGCUUGAGGGAUGACUGGGGCGAGUAUCAUUGGCAGGAAGACCAAGGCCUUCAGCCUGGAGCUGCCUUUGGCUGGUCUCAUUAGACAUAUUCAGAAUAAGCCAUCAGAGGUGGAUCUUACUUCUGUGGGACCUGCCCUUGGGCCUGUGACCUGAUGCCACCCUGGCCCUGUCCUUUGCUGAGAGUUGUCCACACCUUCCAGACUCAGGUGGCACAUGGUCGGGUAGACAGAUGCCACUUUCUGUGAAUGCAAGUUGGGAGUGACACUAUCUCCCAUCAGCUGAGAGACAUAUACUUUGACAGUGUUUGUCUCUGGCCCUUCUGCCUUCUGCCAUGGAUGAUGCAGAGAGAAGGGCCUUUCCAGAUGCAAGUUUCUCCACCUUGGACUUCCCAGCCUUGAGAACUGUAAGAAACAAUCUCUGUUCUUUAUAGAGCACCAAGUCUCAGAUAUCCUGUUAUGGCAGCACAAAAGAAAGCUCAUCCAGAGAAUGGUAUCCUCACAGACACCACUGGGCAAAAAGUCCUGAUCUGGGGCUCAGGGAAUUUGCCUACCUUUCCUGGUUCUGAUGUUGCUUCUUUGGGUGUGGAAGGCCAGGUCCCAGGCUCGCUGCUCCCCAUACUGAGCCACCAGUUGUGAGGCCACCUCCGUGCCACUUGCCUUCUCUGGUUGAGCUGGUGUCACACCAGAAGAACACCCAAAGAGUGUUUUGUUGGAUAGCCGAAGCUGGAAUUCCUUCAGCUCCUCUUUCGGCAGUAGCUCCAGAUUCUUCCUUCUCCUGGGAUCUGGACUCUUGGAAUCAACCCUUGAGACACAGCACUGAGAGGAGUUUCUUCAUUGGCAGAGAAGAUAUCAUAUGGGAAGCUCUCUAAAAGAGAGGUUGUAAGGAUUAACUGAGAGAGUCCGUGUAAAGAGAGAAAAUUGUGAGAAGAAAAAGGAUGACGUUUCUGCCCCAGGGAGGUCACAGUCUAAAGGAACAGUUGACUGACAUGAAGACCAGUGACCCCAGAUUACAGAAGACUCCAGAAGGCUCCAGACUUCCUAUUGAGAAGUCCGAGAUGGGGUGUGUGUGUGUUGGAGAUCCCAUGUACAUCUAUGGGAGCAGCUGAUACCGGGUCCUGGAUAAUAGCUGUCACCUUAGGGCAUGGCCUUAAUGUGGUCAGCUCUUCUGACUUUCCAAGGCUUCACACCUCUGAAGUAGCCCUCCACAUUUUGAAAAGCUCCCCUUUCUGCCACCGCCUCCCUUUUCCUGUUUGGAGUCUGAGAUAGUCAAAAGCCCUUCUGGUUCCAGUGUGUAAAUUUAUUCGGAGAUGGGUGCCUCUCCAAGCCUGUUGUCUCAGCCAAAGCAGGACACUUAGAGUUGAUUAUCGCAUUACCACCGUGCUGAUGUGGAGUGCUGAUCUGCAAGUAAGACUGCACAACACGGAGAAGAUGAGCACUUUAGAAGAAGUGGUUCCCUUCCACACAUCCAGAUAAAAGGUGGCAUGUUGAUGCAGGGCACAUAAUUUGGCGAUGGCAAGACAUUAUCUUUUCUUUAUGAAUAAUAGAAGAUGUUUGGCUGGCUCAUAAUCUUUAAAAAACUGUAGUCAUAGUAACACAUGUGUCGCCCCUUAAUAUGAGAAUUUUCCCCCUUAAAGACAACAGCCUAUUUUACAACAUGUUCUUA